RNAcentral lists this ribosomal RNA (488 nucleotides) under uncultured Pseudomonadota bacterium. Its description in RNAcentral is "bacterial SSU rRNA". It matches the Rfam family "Bacterial small subunit ribosomal RNA", at positions 224 to 704 of the family's 1533-position model. The record is from RNAcentral. Lineage: Bacteria; Pseudomonadati; Pseudomonadota.
GAGCGGCCGAUGUCGGAUUAGCUUGUUGGUGAGGUAAAGGCUUACCAAGGCGACGAUCCGUAGCUGGUCUGAGAGGAUGAUCAGCCACACUGGGACUGAGACACGGCCCAGACUCCUACGGGAGGCAGCAGUGGGGAAUUUUGGACAAUGGGGGCAACCCUGAUCCAGCCAUGCCGCGUGAGUGAAGAAGGCCUUCGGGUUGUAAAGCUCUUUCGGCCGGAAAGAAAGCCUACCCCCUAAUACGGGGCGGGGUUGACGGUACCGGCAGAAGAAGCACCGGCUAACUACGUGCCAGCAGCCGCGGUAAUACGUAGGGUGCGAGCGUUAAUCGGAAUUACUGGGCGUAAAGCGUGCGCAGGCGGUUGAUUAAGCUUGCUGUGAAAGCCCCGGGCUCAACCUGGGAAUGGCAGUGAGGACUGGUCGACUGGAGUGUGGCAGAGGGGGGUGGAAUUCCACGUGUAGCAGUGAAAUGCGUAGAGAUGUGGAGG